GACGAACGCUGGCGGCGUGCUUAACACAUGCAAGUCGAACGGAAAGGCCCUGCUUUUGUGGGGUGCUCGAGUGGCGAACGGGUGAGUAACACGUGAGUAACCUGCCCUUGAUUUUGGGAUAACUUCAGGAAACUGGGGCUAAUACCGGAUAGGAGCUCCUGCUGCAUGGGGGGGGUUGGAAAGUUUCGGCGGUUGGGGAUGGACUCGCGGCUUAUCAGCUUGUUGGUGGGGUAGUGGCUUACCAAGGCUUUGACGGGUAGCCGGCCUGAGAGGGUGACCGGCCACAUUGGGACUGAGAUACGGCCCAGACUCCUACGGGAGGCAGCAGUGGGGAAUAUUGCACAAUGGGCGGAAGCCUGAUGCAGCAACGCCGCGUGCGGGAUGACGGCCUUCGGGUUGUAAACCGCUUUCGCCUGUGACGAAGCGUGAGUGACGGUAAUGGGUAAAGAAGCACCGGCUAACUACGUG
This 468-nucleotide ribosomal RNA is filed under the name uncultured bacterium. RNAcentral describes it as "partial 16S ribosomal RNA". It matches the Rfam family "Bacterial small subunit ribosomal RNA", at positions 28 to 507 of the family's 1533-position model. The record is from RNAcentral.